GCGAACGGCUCAUUAAAUCAGUUGCGAUCUACUCGGCGUUCCGCGCCGCCGGAUAACCGUAGUAAUUCUAGGGCUAAUACGUGCGAAGCGCCCGAAGCCGCGAGGCGACGGGCGUUCUCGCCGGAUGUAGGAACCGACCCGGGGACCGCCGGGGCAACCCGGCGCCCCCGAGACGGGGCGAACCACGGUGAAAUGACGGAUCGUCGGCCCCGCGCCGGCGACUCGCCGAAUGAGUUUCUGACCUAUCAACUCGAGACGGCGGGGUAGAGGCCCGCCGCGGUAACGACGGGUAACGGGGAAUCAGGGUUCGAUUCCGGAGAGGGAGCCCGAGAAACGGCUACCACUUCCAAGGAAGGCAGCAGGCGCGCAACUUACCCUAAUCUCGAUUCGAGGAGGUAGUGACAAGAAAUACCGAUGCGGGACCCUACGGGUGCCGCGUUCGGAAUGAGUACGAUUCGAACCACCUAACGAGGAACGAUCGGAGGGCAAGUCUGGUGCCAGCAGCCG
Molecule: ribosomal RNA, 507 nt
Filed under: uncultured eukaryote
Lineage: Eukaryota
Description: bacterial SSU rRNA
Rfam family: Eukaryotic small subunit ribosomal RNA
Source: RNAcentral